AACUUUUAAAGGAUAACAGUUAAUCCACUGGUCUUAGGAACCAUUAACC
RNAcentral lists this transfer RNA (49 nucleotides) under Patagona gigas. Its description in RNAcentral is "partial tRNA-Leu". The record is from RNAcentral. Lineage: Eukaryota; Metazoa; Chordata; Aves; Apodiformes; Trochilidae.